GUAGGUGGCAAGCGUUGUCCGGAAUUAUUGGGCGUAAAGCGCGCGCAGGCGGUUCUUUAAGUCUGAUGUGAAAGCCCACGGGCUCAACCGUGGAGGGUCAUUGGAAACUGGAGAACUUGAGUACAGAAGAGGAAAGCGGAAUUCCACGUGUAGCGGUGAAAUGCGUAGAGAUGUGGAGGAACACCAGUGGCGAAGGCGGCUUUCUGGUCUGUAACUGACGCUGAGGCGCGAAAGCGUGGGGAGCAAACAGGAUUAGAUACCCUGGUAGUCAACGCCGUAAACGAUGAGUGCUAAGUGUUAGGGGGUUUCCGCCCCUUAGUGCUGCAGCUAACGCAUUAAGCACUCCGCCUGGGGAGUACGGCCGCAAGGCUG
Molecule: ribosomal RNA, 372 nt
Filed under: uncultured organism
Description: partial 16S ribosomal RNA
Rfam family: Bacterial small subunit ribosomal RNA
Source: RNAcentral